ACCAUGUUUCAAUGAAAUGUGAUUCAAGGCGUAAGAUAAUGAAUUAAGUAAAUAUAAAAAUUAGAAGAUGCUGUAUAAUUGCCAAUGAGACAACUCUCCAUCAGGAACGAAAUGACAUAGAAGUUAACAAGUAUUGGUCACCGUAUGACCUUCAACAAUGAGCAACGUCCAUACCACAUAGUCAGCUUUUAAAGGCCCGAUACUUACAAGCGUAAAACAAUUCAAACGAGAAAACUAACGGCCUGAUUCAUGUAAAAAAGAAUAUACAAAUAUGACAUACAGC
RNAcentral lists this long non-coding RNA (283 nucleotides) under Mytilus galloprovincialis (Mediterranean mussel). Lineage: Eukaryota; Metazoa; Mollusca; Bivalvia; Mytilida; Mytilidae. The record is from RNAcentral.